Molecule: long non-coding RNA, 608 nt
Organism: Lolium rigidum
Lineage: Eukaryota; Viridiplantae; Streptophyta; Magnoliopsida; Poales; Poaceae
Exons: 4
Source: RefSeq, a predicted model, not a curated record
GCCGUCCGCCGUCGUCUUGGGCUCCCGGCCGUGCCGCGCCGCCACCUCUCCGGACAAGAGCAGAACGGCAAGCCUCCUACUCUUUCCGCCGAGCAGGUCAAUGUGAUAGAUCAGAAUCUGGAGAAAAUGCAAGCUGCUAUCGACAAUGGAUUUGUCGUGUGUGGAACCAUUAGACAUCUCCUUGAGGAAGGCAAGCUACGUAAUCCGUUUGUCCAGUGGGCAUGGAUGCUUGGCCUUACUUAUUUUGUUUCUUCUGCCGUACAAGUGAUGAGGCCAGCGAAGGGAGGCUGAUUCGACCGUAAUUUGACUUGAAGGAGGGAGCCAUUCUGAGAGAUGGCUGUGGUAUCCUUCAAGGAUCUAGAUGCACCUGAAGGUUUUGUUUUGUUGUUGAUGGUAUUAAUUAAGGGCACCUGUUAACCUGUUUAUUUAUGAAAAAUACUGUGUCUUCCUUUUAGCAAAAGAGGAGAUCCAUCAAACUCCAGGAGUGAGUUGCUGUGGCACCGUUUGCAUGUCUAAUCUUAACUUAUAUUAUGGUUGAUACAUGUUGUAUGAAUUUAAGUGUAUCUGAUGAAUUUACACAUGUUUAAUCUUUAACUUUGGUUGUAUGA